GGGAAAGUCAGGGAGAUUCAGAAGGCAAAAAUGAUUUAACAUGGUGUUUUUCACUUGAAGAUGGAGGGGCUAUAUAAGAAUGAAUAUGAAUGGCAGCUCAGUUGAUAGCUAGCCAACAAAAAAGACCUCAGUCCUACAACCUCAAGGACUGAAUUCUGCCAACACCUUGAAUGAGUUUGAAAGUGGAAUCUUCUCCAGAGCCUUCAGUGCUGCCCAUACACAAGGCGAGGGGAUUAUACAGGAUGUAUACCCCAGGAGGCAGACAGCUGAGAAUUCUACCUACCACCACAUGCACAUGGCUUUUGAAAGCUGUCCCCACCAUCCUCCGUCAAGCCAGUGCUGCAUCUACUGAAUGGAUUUAUUUCAACCUAUAUGUAGCCCACGAGCCACAACUGCUGAAGCCCAGAUGCCUCGAGCCUGUGCUUCGCAACAAGAGAAGCCACUGCAUGAGAAGCCCCCGCACUGCAACAAACAGUAGCCCCUGCUCUCCGCAACUAGAGAAAGCCCGCAUGCAGCAAUGAAAACCAGUGCAGCCAAAAAUAAAUAAAUAAGUAAAUAAAUAUUAAGA
Long non-coding RNA from Hippopotamus amphibius kiboko, 568 nucleotides. RefSeq lists it as uncharacterized. The transcript has 3 exons. NCBI's taxonomy places the organism in Eukaryota, Metazoa, Chordata, Mammalia, Artiodactyla, Hippopotamidae. The record is from RefSeq and is a predicted model, not a curated record.